UCCAGCUAGAGAUUUUCAGUUAGUGUGGAC
Molecule: non-coding RNA, 30 nt
Filed under: Rattus norvegicus (Norway rat)
Lineage: Eukaryota; Metazoa; Chordata; Mammalia; Rodentia; Muridae
Source: RNAcentral